This 617-nucleotide long non-coding RNA is filed under the name Vigna radiata. Its description in RNAcentral is "long non-coding RNA (VRAD_LNC015576)". The record is from RNAcentral. Lineage: Eukaryota; Viridiplantae; Streptophyta; Magnoliopsida; Fabales; Fabaceae.
UUGAAAAAGAAAAAAAUAAAAAAAAAGAGAAAUAAGAAAAAAAAGAGGAUUAGAAAGUUGGUUUGUCGUUUGUGAAAAGGGAAACGGUUUUUCUGAAAAAGGACAAGGCGUUUGGGGUGGUAGAGGUGGUAUUGCUUUUGGCAGGUGCGAUUUGGUUUUGGCAAGAAAAAAAGGACAUCAUGCUCGGAGGCUCCCCCAGGAUCAUUCAUUCACACACCCGUAACCAUGGACACCACGUUUGACAAGGAGUAUCAUCCUCCCUCAUCACACACAUUCCUUUGCUCUCCACCUCUCACAUUACUUACAAAAACGUUCCUGCAUUGAUUCGUAAAGGAGGGCUCAGCAAAAAAAAUUAUUCCUCCAUUCACACAAUAGUAUAACCCCCUUUCAAAGCCAAUUCUUCUAUCAUGCCCAACCACAAGAACAGACACCCCUUUUGUUCACUACCAGAUCCCAAUUCUUGAAACUCAUUCCCUCACUUCCUAAACUCCCUCUCCAUCACCCAUUAGGAUCAUCACCCUCAACCUGCAGUGAACCAAAUGAAAAAAGCCACCAAGAACAGAGACUGUCCUACUCACACCAGCAACCACAAUUCGUCAUCCAUUUAUUCCCCAUUC